Molecule: long non-coding RNA, 562 nt
Organism: Ctenopharyngodon idella (grass carp)
Lineage: Eukaryota; Metazoa; Chordata; Actinopteri; Cypriniformes; Xenocyprididae
Exons: 2
Source: RefSeq, a predicted model, not a curated record
GAGAAAAGCUACUUCCUGUCUUUACUGCCGAUGAAAAUACAUCUACUGACAUUGUCAAAUGCCCGUCGACACCUGAUCCCAACUGCAAAAAAACUGUGCCACAGUGUAUGAAGCAAGGUUCAUAAAGACAUGGUUGGAGGAGUUUGGAGUGGAAGAAUUUGACUAGGCCACACGGAGACCUGACCUCAACCCCAUCGAACACCUUUGGGAUGAACUGGAACGGAGAUUGCAAGCCAGGCCUUCUCGUCUAACAUCAGUGCCUGACCUCGCAAAUGCUCUACUGGGUAAAUGGGCAAACAUUCCCACAGAAACACUUUAAAAUCUUGUGGAAAGCCUUCCUAGAAGUUUGGAAGCUGUUAUAGCUGCAAAGGGGCACCGACUCUAUAUGAAUGUUGAUGUGUUUAGAAUGCGAUGCCAUUACGGUCCCUGUUGUUGUAAUGCUGCAUUUAUGUCACGUUUUUCUUGUAACUUCAUGAAACAUGCUCCGAAAAGUUUGUGGAAAAGUGCACAUCAUUAUUUACAGCAGAUUCUCAUGAUUAAAAUGAAUCCAAAAUCAACAUAA